RNAcentral lists this long non-coding RNA (30143 nucleotides) under Lynx pardinus (Iberian lynx). The record is from RNAcentral. Lineage: Eukaryota; Metazoa; Chordata; Mammalia; Carnivora; Felidae.
AAAAAGAACUCCUCUGAAAACAGAAUAGGCAAGUGGGUAGGGGAUGGAGAGGGGCUCUAAGCCAAACUAUUCUUUCAUAUUAUCAUACAGAAUUUAAUACUAUGUAUUCAAACAAUAGCUUUUCUGAUUUACUGACACAACAACAAAUUAUCAUAGCUCAUUUUGUUUGUUUCCGUUACACUUGGAGAUCCACAGGAAACAACGAUUUGUUAACCAAGUCAACUGAAAGCAGAGUUUCGAAAAUCAUUUUAGAAAAACAUCUUACAUUUCAAAUACAGAAUAUAUCCUAGGAGUUGAGCUAAAGAACUACGGUGCAUACAAAAGUCUCUGAUGACUGUCUACCACUAUGCUUUUAGAGUUAAUAUUAUAAAAGCCCACAUUUCCCUUAACUUCUUGAUUACUGAGAUGACAAAGUCAAAGGUCUACUUUCUAUUCAAAAUUCAAAGACAACACUCUCUAUUAUGGCAAGGCUCCUCAGAAAUAAGACCUAACUCAGCCAACAGAAACAUCAUCUGUUCGAAUUAUCGGAACUAUAGAUGUCUUUUCUACACCACAAAAACAUCACUUCUCCAAUAUAAUCUCAUACUUUAGCAAUAAAAAAAAAACCUAUCAUUUUCAUUUAAUUAUAAUGAGAAAGUCCAUGAAUUCUUAUAUGAUGCAGAGCAAAAUGUUAUGAUUUCACUCAUAAGUAUGGUCCUCAACUCUAAAAGGCACUGAUUUUUUCCCCUGUCCUCUCCCACCCCACUGUACCUCCUGGCUCAAACACAUCCAUGGUAGUCUCUAAGUCUCCAUCUCCCCCAUGCUAUCUUAGGAAUCAGAAAGAGACAGAAUGAAGGGAUCAGUUGAAACAAAACAAAACAAAACCUCAAAUAGAAUGAAGAACCAAAGACAGAUAAAGAAAAUAAGGAAGAGAGACAGGAAAAGGAAGGAGAUUUAAGCAUAGGGUAUUUCAAGGUACUCAUUUUUUUUUUAAUGUUUAUUUAUUUAUUUUGAGAGAGAGAACUAGUGUGCACGUGGGGGUGGGGGGGGCACAGAGAGUGGAGACAGAGAGACAGAGAAUCCUAAGCAGGCUCUGUACUGUCAGCACAGAGCCCCACAUGGGACUCAAUCCCACAAACCCUGAGAUCAUGACCUGAGCCAAAACUAAGAGUCUGACUCUCAACUAAAUGAGCCACCCAGGCACCCCACAAGGUACUCAUUUUUAAAACAGAAAAUCAUGAUUCUAAUUUUAGAGACAAGUAGAAAACUACUACUUGGAUUUCUUUUAUGUUAACUCAUUAACUCAGUAUUAUUGUUAAUCUAGUGUAGUAUGAGAAUAUUAAGUCCUGAAAUCACAAUCUCAACAUUAAAAAGAUAAUCUCAAUCCUCAAGUGAUUUAUAACAUUUUCCUAAAAUUUAAUGGCCUCAAACAUCAACUUCUAUAACUUUUUAAAAAUUUCUUGCACUAGAAAAUUUAAAAGCUAUGAUUAAUUACUAUCGUACUGUAGCAAAACAAGCAAGGGAGGGAGAAAAAGUACAAUGAUUAUUAAAUGUAAUGACUCUGAGGAUUCCACAGAUGUUUGGUUAGGAUAAAGGUAAUUAACUGAGUUCCUGAGUAAGCCAUUUAGUCCUAUUCUUACAACUCCACUAAUAGGGAAGGCAUGAGCACCUAAAAAGUGGAUGCAUUUGCCCUAAAUCAAUCAUCAAUAGUAGCAGCUUAGAAUACAAAUAUAUCCUAUGUUUCAUUACAGCAAUAUUUCCUAUAAAUGUCCCCAUAAACUAAAUGUCUUGAAAAUUUCAAUAUUUCAGCUUCUAAACCUGCACUGUCCACUAAGAAUUAAGAAUUUCCACUAAGAAUGCCACCAACCCUAUGUGGCUAUUUAAAUUUUAAUUAAAAUUAAGUAAGAUUUAAAAUUCAGUUCUUUAUUGCAUCGACCAUAUUCUGCAUGCUCAAUAGCACAAUGGCUACCAUACUGGACAGCAGAGAACAUUUCCAUCACUCCAGAAGGAUAGUACUGUUGUAAACUAUUUCUUCUUGUGUCUGAAAGCAAUGGAAAUUCAUUUUCAGACCAUGUAUAAUUUAAUAUUAUAUAUUAUAUUAUAUAUAAAUAUAAUUUAAUUAUAUUAUAUAAUAAUAUUCUUUUGUUUAAAACUAUAGUUUUUGUGAUUGGAUUGACUGCCUUAAGUAACUGGUGCUCCUUAAUUUCCUAUCUAAUCAAAUAUAGAAAGCAGCAGCAAAAAACACUUCUGGGGAAUAGCAGUAAGAUAAACAGUUUAUUUACUCUCUCUAUAUAGAGAGAGGUGGUCCCAUCAAGCUAAAAAAGCACUAGGCAAAAGUGCAACUUAAUAAAGUCUCCAAGACUGAGUUGCUGUUUGAUCUUAGGAAAGAUUCUUCAUUCCUUUAUCCCUUAUACUGCUUAUUUUUACAAAAGUGGCAAUGCCUGACAAAUUGACAAUCUCAUAUGGUUACCCUGAAACUAAUGACCUAUGUGGUUCAAAUAUUCUUACAAUGAAUUUUAAAAGACGAGAACUUGUUUAAGUAAUAUUUUCUGCAUGAAAAUCCCCAUUCCCUGAUUUGCUUAACUGCAUAUCUCAACCUCUUCCUCCUCCUCUUUCAUUUGUCAUUUCUUUGAUCCACUUCCUCACCCACCCAGUCUUCUUCUGGUCCCAGAUUCCACAUGGCAAUGAAUCUCACCUCAGACUAAAUAGACAGUAAAGAGCCAGUUAUAUUUUGACUGGUUUCUCUCCACCCCAUCCUGAUGUCACUGCCACCUCACCUGCCCAAACAAUGUACAGACAAUGCGAUCAGAAAGUGAGAAACCUUUUCCCUCAUUUCCACCACUCAUCAACUAGGCUCUCCGAUUCCUAAGCUCCUCAUCUAGAAAUUGAACCACUCUUAGCCCAUCCCAGGGUAAAGCUAGACAAAUGCACAGGAUUUGAGAUAUGUUACUCAAAAUAACACCAUACUAUACUCAUAUAAAAGCAUCUAUAAAACACUGAAUACAUAUAAAAUAUUUGAAUGGUUCCUCAGAAUUACACAAAUUAAGGAUCUGAUCAUAUAUUUUAUGCUGAUUUGUUAAUGAGAGAAAAUGGGCAUGGGAUACAAGAAAAAACAGAGGCAGAGAUAUAUAAUUGAAAUGAUGCAGUUAAAUAUGACUAGUCACUGGCUCAGAUGUAUUGGCUAAAUAAAAUUAUUACAUGUAACACUGUCUUUAAAAAAAUACCCUAACAACAUAUAUGUCUAAGCAUAUAUGCCCAAAGCCCCAAUUCUGCACAUGAAAACUAAUACCACAAAGUAUCCUAGUAGUUAAUUAUUUAGUACUAAGUAUCAGUCAGGGACACACUCCAAGUUAAACAAAAUGGGUUUUCAUCUGUUUUAAAUCAAAUACAUUAAAAAAGGUUUUAAAAAGGAAUUGAAAAUGAAAACCAAAUUAAAACAAAGAUUAUGUUAUGUUACUCACCUACUUAGUAAAAGAGAGUAUCACAAAAUCAGCAUUCUAUUUUUACAAAUAAACUUCCAUUUGUCUGGAAUAAAUACAUUUUACAAAUUCAACUUUAUACAUAUAUGAAAUUUACAUACACGAAAUUUACAUAUAUAUGAAAUUUACAUAUACAACAGUAAAUCUCAAAUACAGAUGUGAACCUUUCCCAAUGCAAAUUACAAACCUGUGCAAAAAUCUUAACCAGCCGGGAGUUGUGUGAGGGUCGAAUCUGCAAAUAUUCUCUCCACCACUGCUUAGCAUAUACAAGAAAUAAUCGUUCUUUCUCUGCAGUUUUCUGACGUUCCAAAGCAAGCUUGAAAUUUAAAAAAUAUAUUUUUUCAAUUUCUAUUUCUUCUCCUUAAUUAAAUACCGUAACAAUUCUACAUACUGCUCCCCAUCUCUACCACUACCCUAAUCUAAACCACCAUCAUCGUCAUCAUUUGUAAGAGCCCCUGACUUCCCAGUUUAAUUUUUCUUUGAGAGAGAGCAUGUGCAUGUGCACAUACACACACGUGUGUGUACCAGCUGGGAGGGGUAGAGAGAGAAGGAGAGAGAAUUCCAAGUAGGCUCUACGCUGUCAGUGCAGAGCCCGACGCGGGGCUCCAUCUCAAGUGUGAGAUGACCUGAGCCAAAACCAAGAGUUGGCACUCAACUGAGCCACCCAGAAGCCCCUGACUUCCCUGUUUCUGCAUACCCUCUCUACAAUCUGGUCUACAUAUAUUAGUGAUCUUUAUUCUCCCAAGACAAAAAUUUAAUAAUCAUAUUGUCAUUCUCUUGCUUAAAACUAAUAAAUGAUAAUUUUCUAAGAAAACACUGUCUAGGAUCAACAGGUAAAUAUACAACUAUGAAAACAAAUACACAAAGAAAAGAAAUUCAGAAUUAUUUACCUGUGUGUUCACUACUUCUUGAGAUAAUGUUUGAUUGAGUGGUGGGUACAUCUCAAGUUUUAUAUUUAAAAUUCCCACAGAAACUUUUGAUUCUGUGCCUAUAAAUAUAAAUAUUUAGAACUUCAGAGGUUUCAAAACUAUGUAUACUUAGUCAACCAAAGUCCAACCAAAAUAAUUUAAGAAUUUUGUGUUUCCACUUACAUGAAAUAGGUAAUAUUCAACAUCACCUUUAAUAUUCAUAUUAUUUGAGCCAGAUCAAAUUAUUUUUAUUUUGUACAAAGGCCUUUAUCUAAUUAUAAGAUUACCCAUUUUCUGACCUUCCUAAUCACAUUUUAAGGGACUUUUGGGAUCUAAUUGAUUUGGGAUUCUUAAUUUUUAAUCUCAUUAAAUGUACGCCAACAUUUACAUUAAAAACAAAGUCAAAACAACUGUUAAAAUCUCACUCUCAGAAAAUAUUUAUACUCUGUCAUCCAAAGUAAUUCCCAUUUAUUUCUUCCCAUUUUUCACAUCACCUGUGAGUACAAAUUUUCAAUCCUUGCUUGGAUUUAAGGAAUCAGAAAACAAAUACACUUUAUACCAGAACUAUUUACUAUUUCAUUGGUGAAUCACUUGUUUCUUGGUCAUUAUUAUGAUAAUCAUGUUAGGCCUAUAUUUGAAGACAAAUAAUGGGUAUCUCUUUUGAAAAUAAAUAUCCCACAUAAAUUUUUUUCCCCUACUUUCUAUUUAAGGAAAAACACAUUCUGGGUCUGACUUACCAAAAUCUAAAGUACUAAAGCUAUACUGUCCACAAGCCAGGUUUGAUUCUGUGACUUAGUUUCAAUACCAAACUAAUUCCCUUACAGGUUAUGCAUAAAAUACUGGCAGGUUUCAUUUUGUUUUUCACUGUUAUUAGCAAAUACAGUAUGUAUUAUACAUCAAGAAGUACGAAAGAGUCCAAGGAGACAAUGGUAAGACAGGCACCACCUCUGUCCUCAAAGAGUACUAUUCACUCACUGAUCCUGUCAAUGAGCAAGUUAACACUUCUUUGAGUCCCACAUUCCCACAUGUAACAGGAUGGAAGAAUAUCAACUCCACAUCUGAAUUACUGCUGUAGGAAGACACUAGUACUAAUGGGGAUGCACCGAACAUCGGAGUGUGCUGAACUAUAAGAUUUUUGCAUAUGCAUACAUGCAUGUGUGUGAAAAAUCUUAAUUUUCUUUACAGCCUUACAUAUUAUCAGAUCGAUAUGGAGAGGAGAAAAAAGCUAUCAAAAUUUCUCUAUUCAUUUCCCAUAAAAAUUUUUUUCCUUAAGACAAGGUCAGAUUGACUGUGAAGUUCUAUAGUCAUAGCACACUUCAAGACAUUUCCUAAGACUGUAAUACUGGAGUCCAACUGUAAUUCUAAUGAAAUUUUUACAUGUUUCCUUCUUGGGUUAUAAAGGCAUUCGGAAAACAUAAAAUGUAUUUACAAACAAACUGGUUACAAAAAGGUGACAGUGAUUAGUUAUCAUACCUACACCCAUAAGUUCCACAGUAAGACUGGUCACUCCAUUUUCUGAGCCCAAAACUGAUCGCCAUUCAAGAAAAUAGGAUGCUACUAAAGUAGUCUCACCAAAUAUGUCUGUUUUGAUUAGCACCAUAUGAACUGGAUCGCUUAUUGAUAACAUUGUUGUUGAAUCAGCCAUUCUAGUUCCAUCACCUGGCAACAUAAACCAAACAAAUGCACCACAUUACAUAUUCCAUUAUGGCCAACACAGAACAGUUCUAUUGCAAAGAAUACUAAUAAUAAACUUACAUAAAACCAAAUGAAAUAAUUCAGUAAUGCCUCAGAAAGUAUGCAAUAAAUUAUUAAAAAAGUACUAUCCCAAAUUUGUCACUAACUUUUGAGAAAACUAGAAUAAUUGUGAUGAGUCAUCUAGUUACUCAAUGCAUAUCAGGGUUUUUCAUCCCUAAGAGAUAAGUCUGUUCUUUAAAAGUACUUAACUAGGGACGCCUGGGUGGCUCAGUUAGUUGAGCAUCCAAUUCUUUUUUUUUUUUUAACUUUUUUUUUUCAACGUUUAUUUAUUUUUGGGACAGAGAGAGACAGAGCAUGAACAGGGGAGGGGCAGACAGAGAGGGAGACACAGAAUCGGAAACAGGCUCCAGGUUCUGAGCCAUCAGCCCAGAGCCUGACGCGGGGCUCGAACUCACGGACCGCGAGAUCGUGACCUGGCUGAAGUCGGACGCUUAACUGACUGCGCCACCCAGGCGCCCCGAGCAUCCAAUUCUUGAUAUCAGUUUGGGUCAUGAUCUCUCAGUUCAUGAAUUUGCAGCCCACAUCAAGCUCUGCAUUCACAGCACAGAGCCUGCUUGGGAUUCUGUCUCCCUUUCUCUCUGCCCCACCCCUGUGUGCACACACACACUCUCUCUCAAAAAUAAAUAAGAUAAACUUAAAAAAAAAAUAAACAAAAGCACUUAACUAAAAUCUACCAUAAUAAAAAGCCUUCAAAUAUGUCAACAUUAACCCCUAAACUACCUUUAUCCCUAAACCUCCAGAAAUAAUCACUGUAUUAUCUAUACAAAACUGAAAGAUUGGCACCUUGGAGCCAGCAUGUGAAGCCAUUAACAGCCUAAUUAAGGCAACAUUUUUCACGAGGGGAAAAAAAUAUUUUUCAUAGUGUAUUAACCAUCUUAGGUAAUCUAAAAUUCUAAAGGUAUAAUUCUGUAACUUUGCUAAAUUUGCUAACCAAAACAUAAAAUACAUUUACAGAAGCUAUGUAAAAUAAUUAUAGGAAUCAACUAUCACAACUUUAAAAUUAUGAGAAUUAUAGAUUCCCAUCUAAACUUUUUUUAUUUUUGAAAGUUAUGUAACAUCAUAAAUCUAGCCAUCUUUUAUAAAUGAGUAGAAUCAUGACUCAUCCUCCAAUAUAUCUUCAGCACUUGCCUAGUACUGUAUAAUGCACCGAAUAGGCAUUUAAGUGUUUAUUACAAAAGAAGCAACCAUUAAAGCAGUAAAAAAAUAAUCUUCAAGGAAAACUAAGUAGCAGAAAAUAAAGUAAGAAGGCGGGUGGAAGUAGAUUUUAUAAAAAAGAGGGGAGAAAAAAACACCUAGGGAGAUUUACUCAUUUUAAAUCUCUCAUUACAGCAAAAGUCUUAUGGUUGUUCUGCAAUAAAACCUAACAAAGAUUUACUCAAUUAAAUGACAAUUUAUUAUUGCUUCUUACCCAAGCUUUCUCUGUGUACUUCAAGUAAAAAGCCAUCAUGAAAAUCUGGUUCACAGGCACAUGGAACAGGUUUAGAACGAAAACGUUGGUUUCGAAAAUGUAAACAUAAAGUAAAGGUUGAACAAACUUGUCCCGGUAAAGGCUCAGGUUCUUGUAGAUGUUCCAAGAAAGCUUUUCCACCCAAAACCUGAAGGUAAAGAUACCUCCGUGUUGGAUCAAUAUUAGCUGUAAAGUGUAGCAAUAUAUAUGAGGAAACUGCCAAAUAACUUAAGGAAUGUGAUCAAGACAAUAGGAAAUAAUAACUUGACAGAAAUAAAAUCAAAGACUAAAUAAAGAAAAAGUAACACAUUUACUGUAUACCAGGACCAUUUGCAACCAGGGAAGAAUAGAUACAUAAUAAAAUAUUUUUAUCUGAGUUUAUAUGCUGGCUACUCUCUCCCAGCUAGAAAGGAGUCAGAGCCAAUGCUUAAGAAAUCUACUUUUUAGUUGCUUAUCCAACACUCCUUCACCUCCACAAACUCAGACAAAGUAAUUACCAUUAAAAGACUGUACAGUGUUUAUAAAAUACAUUAUUAAAACAUGAGCAACAGGUGAUCCUGUUUUUGCUUCCACUCUGCUACAUGUUAAAUCUUCUGACAUAAUACACACUUCAUGCAAAACAGAAUCUAAGUUUUUUUGGAUGAUUAAUCAUAAAAAUAUUAGUAUCUCAUUCCAGAAAGAAAAAAUGUUUUCUAUCAAAUACCAAACACUAUAGCACAUCAAUAUGUAGUACUAUCCAAAAUGAAAUCAAUGUUAAAAAGAAAUACACAUACUUUUUUUUAACAAGGUUGAUUGUCUAUCAGUGAAACAAACAGGUUGUUUUGGAGAGGAAGGGAGUUCUUGAUCAACACUGUCCUAGAAAGGCAGAAAAAAAUGAAAACAAAUUAGAAAAAAUAUAACUAAGCAAGGGAAUGGCAACAAUGGAACUAAGUAAAUAGUAUAAAGCCCCCCUCAAGGAAACUUUUCCCAGCCUAAUUAAAUAAUUACAUAAUUAAAAUAAUGAAAAGUCUGCAAAAAAGGUGGUGUUACUGGUCACUCCUAAAGUUUGAUAAGUAAUUAAACAGCCUUCAACCAAUGUCCACAGAAUGCUAAAAACAAAUUCUUAAUGUCUUAAACAAGGGUAAACUUUUUCUAAACCUAACAUUUGCCUUAUGAUUCUACCAUGAACUAAUUUUAACAAGGAAAUGACAUUCACAUAGCAGAAGCUGUUACUGGGUCAAUUUUUAAACAAAUGGGUUAAUAAACCUCAAAAACCAAAAAAAGAGGCUGUAUUAAAAAACUUAUUCCCUGAUGUAUUAUGCAAGUCCAUCCAAUUUUUACAUUAUAAUACCCAGAUAUUGAGGUCACAGUUUCUCAUUAUUGCCUCAUUUUCAAAAGACCUACUUACUAAUUUGUGCACUGAGAGACUAUCAUCCCAUUACUGACCUAUUUGUAUGAAGAGAUUUGAAGGUUCUUAUGCAAUCAUUUUUUUAAAGAAAUUGAUAAUUUGUUAAUCACAAUGGAGUUCCAAAAGAAUGUAUUAAAAAAAAAUAUGCCUAAUCAAAAACGUUAUAGAACAAUACUAGUGAAAAAGAACUAGGUUAUGGUGACCUAAUUUAACUAAAAUAUGUAUACUUAAAGUUACAGAACCAGAGAAUAAUAAUAGAAAAUUCUGUAGAGAGAGCAAUAUGGUAUGUAACUCCAAUCUCACUGAUACAUAAUCCUACUUGCUAUUUUUCAAGGGUAGAGUUAGCUUAUAUUUGAAGUAAAGAUAGUAUUAGGGAAAAUGAUCUUAUUCAUUUUUUUAACAUUUUAUUUCAUUUAUUUAAUGUUUUAAAGUUUAUUUAAAGAUUUUACUUUUUAAGAAAUCUCUAUACCCAAUGUAAGACUCCAAACCACAAGAGUUGCAUGCUCUCCCCCAAAUUGUCUCAUUUUAAAGUGGUUUUCCUAAAAAGAGGCCCCAAAUAUGGACCCUAUAAGUGGCAUUAAGCAUGAGAACAUACUCUCAAAAUCUUUCCCCUAAAAGAUUACUCACAGUAACAAAAUUAAGUUCUUUCAUCACAUCAUCAAUGAUUCCCCUACGUCUAAGGGCUUUGAUCAAAUCUUCAGUUGAUAACUGCUGUUGAUCAGGUGCCAAUUCUUCCCGUAUUGUCUCAGCAAGGAUUUCUCUUAUUCUGCCAUGGACAUCCAUCUACGUAGAAAACUCGAAUUACCAUUUACAUUACAAAGUCAUCAAACAUUGCCAAUCAGCUAAUUUCUUUCUAAAACACCCAAAGGAAAAAAAAAUGAUGGGAGAGUAGAUAGAUAAAAUUCAGGAAGUCUUCUCAAGAUAAUAGUAAAUGUAAAAUUGUUACCAGAAUUCAAUAAGAAUAAAGGUUAAGAUUUUUAAAAGGAAGAAAACCAAAAAAAAAAUUUAGGAUGAUUUUUUUUUUUUUUAGUACAAAUUCUAGGAAUAAUUUCAGCUGGUUAUCUGCUACCUUUGUUAUCAGUUCCCCACAAAUAACAUUCAACCAAAGCAGACCUUUUGAAAGAGAAUUGUUGUAUAAUCAAAAGAAUACAAACCUGGAGAACCUCAAAGUCUGCUUAUUAGAUGUGACCCUGAGUUAACUUAUUCACCCUUUAUGAAUCUGGAAAAAAAAUAAUGCCCUGCCAAGACCACAUUGCGAGGCUUAGCCAAAAAAUGCUGAACACUGAGCAGAAAGCCUGGCAAGUGUACAAUAAACCGUAGCUUUUAUUAUUUCAGAUUACUGCAUUCAGUUGAGCACCUCAACAAUGUUCUCCUUGAGCUUCGAAACAUCACAAACGCUUUUCGUUGCAAGUCCUUCAGUAACUUCCCUUUCAUGACUUCUUUAAGAAUUGCUGAUUUGGUUCAACUUGAAAGACACAAGUUUCACCCUUAAAGUAAUUCCAAUUCCAGACCUCUGAAUAUACACCUGCUCCAAACACAACUUGUACUCGAUCUGAUCUCCAGAAACAGCUGUGCUAUCACUCUCCCACGUUCCGUCACCUCAAACUCUCACUAGCACUUGCCGGCAUUGUUGUCUUUCAGCGAGGCUGGAGAGCGGCCCCGGCUGGACACCCGGAGACGGCCCAGCCGUGCUCUGCGCCCCAGAGCCUGCGCUCGUGUCCCCGGCAAACAGGCGCCGCCGUCGGUCGGGCCUCGGGAUGCCAGGUCGGGCGCUCAGGACCAAAGGCGNNNNNNNNNNNNNNNNNNNNNNNNNNNNNNNNNNNNNNNNNNNNNNNNNNNNNNNNNNNNNNNNNNNNNNNNNNNNNNNNNNNNNNNNNNNNNNNNNNNNNNNNNNNNNNNNNNNNNNNNNNNNNNNNNNNNNNNNNNNNNNNNNNNNNNNNNNNNNNNNNNNNNNNNNNNNNNNNNNNNNNNNNNNNNNNNNNNNNNNNNNNNNNNNNNNNNNNNNNNNNNNNNNNNNNNNNNNNNNNNNNNNNNNNNNNNNNNNNNNNNNNNNNNNNNNNNNNNNNNNNNNNNNNNNNNNNNNNNNNNNNNNNNNNNNNNNNNNNNNNNNNNNNNNNNNNNNNNNNNNNNNNNNNNNNNNNNNNNNNNNNNNNNNNNNNNNNNNNNNNNNNNNNNNNNNNNNNNNNNNNNNNNNNNNNNNNNNNNNNNNNNNNNNNNNNNNNNNNNNNNNNNNNNNNNNNNNNNNNNNNNNNNNNNNNNNNNNNNNNNNNNNNNNNNNNNNNNNNNNNNNNNNNNNNNNNNNNNNNNNNNNNNNGACCCCCAUCACUUCCCCACUCGCGGGCCCCUUCCGCACUGCGGACCGGCAGGUAGCUGGACGGGCCCUUCAGGACCCCACGCCGAGCGACUCCACGGCCCCGCCCCGCGGCCCCGUCGCUAGGGGCUCUGGGGACUCCAGCGCGCGGACGGAGCGAGGCGCUCGCGGUUUCGCGCUCGCGUCGCCUGCGUUUCCUCUAGGUCAGUGCUCGCCCAGUCCUUCCAUUUCGGUGCGACCAUGUUUGUUCCCUGCGGAGAUUCUGUCCCCGACCUCGCUGGCUUCACCUUCCUAAUGGUGAGUCCCCGCUUUCUCGAGCUCCGCCUGCUUGGCUUGGGGUGCUGUCUGUCGGGAGGCGCCUGGGGGGCCGCCACCGCGCCUCGAGGUCUUUCACUCGCCCUGGGACAGAAGACGGUGCUUGCUUAAAACGGGGAGGUUGUCGCUGGAGUCCGGGCUGCAGAAAGAUUCUUUGUUGGCGCUAUCACCAGACGUUUCUGAGACUAGAGUUUGUAGUCUUAACUGUAAAACGUAAUGUGUUUGAUUAUUAUUGGUAACGUUGUACGUAGGUUGUGCGGGCCAUCUUCUUUUCGAUGUAUCCUAGAAAAUCUUUUUUUCCAGCUAGUAGCAGAGCCUUUCUUAAGCUGGCAGGGCUUUGUCAUUAACCAGAUAACUACAGAAAAGGAAACCUUGCCAGUACCUAACACACGGUUUUAUUGCUCCUAAAAUUGCCCAUAUUCAGUCACUGUUUCAAUAAACAGUCUAUUAGAAUAAGAGUAGGUCCUUGUCCUCAAGGAGUGUCCAGUUUAGUUGGAAACACACGUAAAUCAAUAAGGGCAAUAAAUGCUAGGAUAGCACUUUGUAAAGGGCACAGAAGAACCCUAGGAUUUGUUGGGAGGGGGAGGGACACAGGGACCCGUUAAAAAAAAAAAAAAGCUUCAUAUGUGGAAUCUGGAAAAAAAAAACCCAACUUUAUAGAUAAAGAGAACAGGUUGGUGGUUGCUAGAGGCAGAUGAGAAUGAGAGCUGCUUGGAUGAAAUAGAUGAAGGUAGUCAAAAGGUACAACUCUACAGUUAUAAAUAAGUCCUGGGGAUGUAAUGUACAGCAUGGUGACUGUAAUUAAUAGUACUGUAGUGUAUAUUUGAAAUUUGCUAAGAGAGUAGAUCUUAAAAGUUCUCAUUACAAGGGGUGCCUGGGCAGCUCAGUUAACUCUGACUUCGGCUUAGGUCAUGAUCUCACAAUUUGUGAGUUCAAGCCCCACAUCUGGCUCUGUGCUGACAGCUCAGAGCCUGGAGCCUACUUUGGAUUCUGUGUGUGUCUCUCUCUGUCUUAAAAAUAAAUAAAACAUUAAAACAUUCUUUUAAAAAGUUCUCAUUACAAGAAAAAUUUGUAUCUGAUUGAUGUUAAGUAAACAUUGUGGUAAUCAUUUCACAAUAUGUAUAUACAUAUAUAUAUCAGCUGAUAUAUGUUUAUACCUGAAACUGAUACACUGUUAUAUGUCAGUUAUAUCUUAAUUUUUUAAAUGAUGAUAAUCACUUUUGGGCAAUUCUCACCUUAAUGCAUGCAAGAAAUAUCAGUGAAUGCUAAAAUUUGUGAUGAUGUACUGUUGAAGGAAAUUUUGUAGUAUUUCAUAGUAUCUCUCUGAAAAAUAUUUGUUAAUCACAAAAGAGAAAAGCAUCCUUCCAGGAGAUAUCUGGCAGAAGAAAAAAAAAGAUUCGUGGGGAAAGUAAUGUCUAAGAGAUUAUUGGCGGUAACCUUGACCGUUAUCAGUAAAGUGGCAAAGGGAGGGAAGCCAUAUUGGAGUGGGCUGAAUAAGUGGAAGAAGAGAUAGAGAAUAUAUGUAUGUAUUUGUUCAUUAAUUCAGAGAUAAAGCGCCUGAAUGCUUGUGCUUUAGUGGACAGCUGUUGGGAAUUUUGGUUAUGGAGAGACACCAAGAAGUGAGGUGGUAGCUAGGGGAGUAUGUAGGAUCAAGGGAGGGUAUUUUAGAAGGAAAGAUUAUAGCGUGUGUAUAUAUAUAUAUAUGUAUACAUACAUACAUACACAUACUGAUGAGAAGAAUACAAUAGUGAGGAAAGUGUAGAUGAUACAGGAGAGAAACGGUCUAAAUUAAGUAGCAGAAUCCUUGGGAAGGGUAAGGGAAUUACAGAAGAUAACCAAGAGAUUAGUAGAUGAGAGCAAUGAGAAGUGGGAGACCACUCUGAGGGACCCAGAAAAAUAAGAGGAAAUGGAGAUGGGGGAAGCAAUUGCUAGAAGAAUGCAAAGGAAGGGCUAUUUUAAAGAGAUAAGUAGAAUCAAUAAAAAUUAGCCAUGUAUUAUAAGUAGUUGGUAGGAGAAAAGGAAGAAGUUUUUUAGUUUAGGUAAUUGAGUAAUUGUUUCACUUUUGAAAUACAAAACAUGAGGACAAGUUUGGGCAACAGUUUAGUUUUGUACAUGUUGAAUGUGCAUUGCCUAUGAGAGAAUCAUGGGGAGAUAUCCAUUAGUCUCUGGAGUUGAGAUAAAUGUUCUGGGCGAUAGGUAGAGGUUUGGCAGUUGGACUGUUUGAAGUCAUGGGGGUAAAUAUGUGUGUGUGUUCAACGUAAAAAGAAGCUGACUCUAACCUUUAUGCACUAACAAAGCAAAGGGAAAGAUGACCCAAGAAGCCUUUAUACUUGCUUUCCCACUGCAUAAAGUGUUUUUUUCCCUGGUCUUCGUAUGGCUGUCUUCCUUAAGUCUCCCAGGUCUAUAGUUGACUGGUCACCUAAAGUCUUUCCUUGAUCACCCUGUUUAAAAUUGCAUCCAAACACAUAUACACUCUCACUUAAUUUUUCUCCAUAGCACUUACCUCUGUAUAUAGGCAUAUCUCAAAGAUAUUGUGGGUUUGGUUUCAGAUCACAGCAAUAAAGUGAAUCUCACAAUAAAGCCAGUCAGAUGAAUUUUUUGGUUUCCCAGUGGAUGUGAAAAUUAUGUUUAUACUAUAAUGUAUUAAGUUUGCAUUAUGUCUAAAAAGACAAUGUACAUACCUUAAUUUUAAAAUAUGUUAUUGCUAAACAAUGCUGGCCAUCAUCUGAGCUUUUGGUGAGUCAUAAUCACCAUAGAUCAAAUGAUAACAAAUAUAAUAAUAAUGAAAAAGUUUGAAAUAUUGAGAGAAUUACCAAAAUGUGACAAACACAAAGUGAACAAAUGCUGUUGGAAAAAUGGUGCCAAAAGACCUGCUUGAGCCUGGGUUGCCACAGACAUUCAAGUGCCAUAAAAUAAAGUACGCCUGUAUUAUUUCACUAUUUUAUUAUAUUUAACUACUCCCUUACUAGAAUGAGAGUUCCACGAGGCAGGAAUUUUUAUCCGUUUGUCUUCCUGCAUUCCUAGUGCUUAGAGCAAUGAUUGGCACAUAGUCGGUUUUCAAUAAGGUGUUAAACCAAUAGUCUCCAAAGUAGAGGAAGCCCCUGCUGACACCUUGUUGAAGCUAAUGCAAAGAGUCCGUAUUUAGUUCUGAUGCACCUGAGCAUAACCAAUCAGAUGUAGUCCUGUGAUUAUUGUCUUCUGUCUAAGCUUUUAAAAGUGCUGCUAAUUUUGAUUACUUAAUGAACAUUUUUUAUUUCAGCCAGCAGUAUCUGUUGGAAAUGUUGGCCAGCUUGCAAUAGAUUUGAUUAUUUCUACACUGAAUAUGUGUAAGAUUGGUUACUUCUAUACUGAUUGUCUUGUGCCAAUGGUUGGAAACAAUCCAUAUGCAACUGCAGAAGAAAAUUCAACAGAACUCAGUAUAAAUGCUGAAGGUAUGUAAGGUUUUGCAUGUUUUAUUCUCUUACAAGGAAGAGUUGUUUUAAAUCAGAAAUAGAUUCAAUGGAUAUUGUUUUAUAGCAUAUAUUUAUUUAGUGCCAGUUUUGUGCAGUAUUUAUGACCUGGUCAUAUUGUCCUAUUGUACAUCAUGGUUUUAGUUCUUAGUCUUUUCUAAAUGGCAGCUCCUAAGAUGACUGUACUUAUAUUUUUUACUAGAAUUUGAGAUUUCCUUUUUUUUUAACAUAAAGGUUUUUUGUCCUUCUUUUAUCCUCAGUUUUAAUUUCUGAUCUUUCUGGCAAGUAUAAGCACCACUAAUACUAGAGAAAGGGGUAAAGAGAAUUCCACCGAGCUCAGUCCUGUAUGUUUAACAUGUGCUACCUUACGUAGGCCUGAUAGUUAUCCUCUCAUGUUAUUAUAGAAUCCAUAAUAAUAUAAUAUUGAUAAGGCUCAGAGAAUUGAGUUGCCUAAUACUACUAGUAGACAUAGGCUUUUACCAUGCCAUAAAUCUCCAUAAUUCCUCAUUGCACUGUCAUGUUUGUUUUAAUUGGGGAACACAGUUGACAUUGCCGUGACCACUGUGUUUAUAGUACAGAACUGCUCUGAGUGAGUGGGGGAAAGCUAUUGAUCAUGAAGCACAGGAGCACCCACUUGCUUCGUUUGAUGACAAGGUGCUCUGUUGGCUUCUCAGUGUUCUGUUUACCAUAAGACUGAAUUCAGCUAUUGCCUUAAAGGAUAAAGUACUAGAAAUAGUAGAACUAGAAUUUAUAUACUUCCACUAAUGAUAACAACUAUCAUUUUAUAUGAGCUGAGCACUGUGUGCAUUAAUACUCUUUACAUGUAUUAAUCCAUUUAAUCCUCACAACUACUCUAUAAGUAGUCUUAUAGAUGAGGAAACCAUUGUACAAAGAAGUUAAGGUCACAUGACUAAUAAUUGGUGUACCUGAGUUUCUAAUCAAGGCUCUGGCCCCUGAGACCUGUUUCUUAAGCACCACACCACCCUGAUGGACCUUCACACUAGUGGAAGACCCACUGGCUUUUCUCUGACACAAACUCACAACAAGUCAAUUGGCUAUGUCCUUUAAUCUACUUUAUCUAUUUUUAAGAUGAGGUAUUUUGAAAUAAAUUAUAGAUAUCAUGACAUUCCACCUCUAAAUACGUAUUUGUCUUUUUAAAGAACGUUUUCUUUAUAGCUAAAAUACUAUCACAUUUAACAAAAUUAGUAAUUUCUUAAUAUCUUAACUAUACCCUAUCCAUAUUCAGACUGUUCCAGUUUACCCCAAAAUGUCCUUCAAAGUUAGUUUGUCUAAACCAAGACCCACUAGGGGCACCUGGGUGGCUCUGUUGGUUAAGCACAGAGCCUGGAGCCUGUUUUGAAUUCUGUGUCUCCCUACUGCCCCCCGCUCACACACUGUCUCUCUUUCUCUCUUUCAAAAAUAAAUAAACAUUAAAAAAUAAUAAUAAAAAAAUAAACUAAGACCCACCAUAGUACUUCUGAUUGUUAUGCCUCGGAAACUUUUUACUGUAGAGCAGUCUCUUUUUUUUUUUAAUCCCUUCAUGAAACUAAUUUAUUGAGGAAACAACUAGAUCCAUUGUCCUAUUGAAUGUCCUAUCUUCUGCAUAUGUCUUAUAACUUCCUUGUAGUGUCAUUUAUCUUGGUCCCCUAGUGUCUGUAUUUUCUGUAACUUCUUAGAUCUAAAGCCUUGAUUAGAUAAAAGCUACAUAUUUUAUACCAGAAAACAUGAAAGGUGAUGUUGCUUUUGUAUUGUAUCACCUCAGAAGAGAAAAGUAAUGGGAAGCAGGAUCUUAAAAAAGAUUUUCCUGAUACACUGAUGAUGAAUAUGAGUGCUAAUAUUGUAGGAGGUGGUAUGUCUUACAUUUUGCUCACUCCCUACAGAUGUAUCCUCUUCCCAUUAAGUCUGUUGAAUUGCACUAAAUGUGCACAUCAGAGAUAGAUUACAGGCCUAAGUGGCUCAUGUUUUAGUCCCUUUCCCCUAAAUUUGUGCUCUUUUCCCUAAUUCCUAAAUUUCUGCUCUUACCUCCUUUGUCCUGAAAAUACCUGGAGGUCAUUAGGCUUGCUGCUUCAGCAUAGCCCCUAGUCACUACCCCAGUCCAACACUCCCCAAAAGAGCUAUAGCUGGAGAGACAUGAUCUGCCAAAGGAUUUACUGGAGUCUGGGUUAUUUGUAAAUUAUUUUACAGUAACUAAAAUUUUACUCUUUAGCACAGUGGCCUAAUCAUGCCUCUAAGAAACUCCAUAUUUUGUCCUUGGUUCUCAUUCUCAGAGGUGAGGUUGGGCAGGGACAUGUUAAGCGUCAGUACAGUAGGCCCCCUUGUAGAAUGUGAGUGAAGGUUGUGGAUCCUUUUCCUUGAAGAAGAGCACACACCUUGACUCAGAAAAUUUUACAUAUUAUCUUGCAUGUUAUCUUUCAAAAACUUCUAAAGAACACAAAUGUACCUAUUCCAGGGAUUUUAUUAUAUGGCUAACAUUCUCUUGCAUUUUAUUCCUUCUCUAAAUCCCAAUGAGUGUUGCUCUUCUCCAGAGAGAAGAGGGGAGCAUAACUUUUUUUUUUUUAAAGAGAGAGAGAGAGAGAGAGCAGGGGUGCCUGGGUGGCUCAGUCGGUUAAGCGUCUGACUUAGGCUCAGGUCGUGGUCUUACGGUCCAUGAGUUUGAGCCCGGUGUCAGGCUCUCCUGAUAGCUGAGAGCCUGGAGCCUGCUUCAGAUUCUUUGUCUCCCUUUCUCUUUGCCUUUCCCCUGUUCUCACUCUGUCUCUCUCUCUCUUUCUUUUUCUCAAAAAUAAAUAAACAUUUAAAAAAAAAAAAAAAAAGCAUGUGUGAGGGAUAGGGGCAGAGGGAGAGAGAGAAUCCUAAGCAGGCUCCCACUCAGCACAGAGCCUGACAUGGGGUUCGAUCUUACAACCCUGGGAUCAUGACCAGAGCCAAAAUCAAGAGUUGGAUACUCAACCAACUAAGCCACCCAAGUGCCCCUUUUUGUUUUUUGUUAGUUUUUAGCUAAGAACAUUCUUUUUUAUGUUUUAUUUAUUUUUUUGAGAGAUUGUGCAGGUGGGGGGGGGGGGCGGGCAGAGAGAGAGAGAAGGAUAGAGGAUCCGAAGCAGGCUCUGCGCUGACAGGCUGACAGCAGAGAGCCCAAUGUGGGGCUCGAACUCACAAACUGUGAGAUCAUGACCUGAGCCAAAGUAAGACACUCAACCGACUGAGCCACCCAGGCACCCCUUAAAUAAAAACAUUCUUAAGAAUGAUUUCAUGUAUCAUAACACCAGAAGUUUCUGGGGAAUUCUUCCCUGAUUCUACAAUCACAGUCAGAAGAAAUAUAAUUUUAUAUUUUCUUAACAGUUAACCUUUCAGAAAUGAAUCUGUUUAUUGAAUAAAGCCCACAGGUGCAUUUUAAGGUACUUCUAAAAUGUUCUAUUUUAACUGAAUGAUAUAGUUCAUAUGUUUUAUAUUUAAUUAUUGAAAAUAUUAGGUAUAAAAGUUCUUACAAUUCAAUAUUAGUUUUUAUGUUAGUAAUUUCACUUGUAUAACUCCAUCAUUUUAACUCUCAUGAUUUCAUUUUCUUUUUGUCUUUGUAGUAUAUUCAUUGCCUUCAAAGAAACUAGUGGCUCUUCAGUUAAGAUCCAUUUUUAUUAAGGUUAGUAUAUUUGUCUUUUUAAGUUGAUUGAAGUGAAAUGUAAUGAGAAAAUACUAAGUAUUAUUAAGAAUUAAGAUUCAAAACUCAGUUCUGCUCUUUUUACUGUAUGUACGGUUAAGAAAAGUCUGAUUCUAUAGAGAACCAAUCUUAGAAUAGGUGUUACCAUCAUUUACUGAUUGAUUAUAUUGAAAGGAAAUGAGGCAUACUGUUUGGAUCUUAUAUAUUCCCAAUUUAGGUAACAUGGGUGAAAACAUUUAAACAAAUGAAUAUUUUGGAUUUAGUCCAUUUGUAUUACAUUUCAACCAGUGACAUCUACAUAUAAAUUAUGUACAUGUCAAAAUAAAUUCUGAAUCUAACUUCUUUCCUCUUCCACCACUACCACUCUUGUCCAAAUCACUGCCUUCUCUCCUACCCCUAAUUCUAUUCUUGCUCUGCCCACUUCCAUAAAUACCUAAUUGUCUGCAGAUAGCACCACCAGUUAUCCUUUAAACCUAAAUCAAAUCCAUCACUUCUCUUUUCAGACCCUCUGGUGGUUUCUUGUUUUCAUCCCAGUGAACUCCCAGCCCUUACUGUGACUUAUUAGGCUCUACCUCUGUGCUGGUAUGGUAGCCACUAUCCACAUGUAGCUAUUUAAAUUUUGAUUUAUAAACUAAAAUAAAAUUAAAAAUUCAGUUCCUGCUUCACACUAGACACAUUUGAAGUUCUCCAUAGCCAUGUGUGGCAAGCAGCUGCCAUAAAGAGCACUUCCAUUAUCACAGAGAGUUCUCUUGGACAACUGCUUUACUUAAUCGAACUUAGAGCCAUUCCUGUUUGCUCAUUAAUAGUUUCCCUCUUUCAUUAACCCUGCUUUAGCCACACUGGUCUCCCUGUGUUGUUCAGACAGAUUAAGCUCACUCCCAUCUCAGAGUCUUUACAUUAUUUUCUCUGCCUGGAAUACUUUUCUUCUAGAUACCUAAAUGGUUUACUUCCUUCAGUCCUUGCUUAAAUGCUGCCUCAUCAGAAAGGCCUCCCCUGACUACCCUAUUGUCUUAUCCUGGGGUGGUUUUCUUCACAAUUCAUCACUACUUAGAGUAUCAUAUAUUUGUUUAUUAUCUACCUCUAAUAUAAAGUAAGUAUUCUGAGAGAAGUGACAGUGUAUCACUCACUUUCAUAUCCCCAGCUUCUAGAAAAGUAUGUAGCAUGUAGAGGAGCUCUUAGUAAAUGUUGGUUGAGUCGAUUAAGGUACCAUCUGUUAAGAAGGUCAGAAAAUUAUCAGCUUUCUGUUGCCUCUCCCGCAUACUCCAUCUUAGUUAUAUUAUUAUGUAAAUGGAAUCUCAUGGCAUGUACUUUAUGUCUAGCUUCCUUUACUCAACAUUCUGUUAGUGAGGUCCAUCCAUGUAGUUCGAAGGAGAGGUCGUUUGUUCAUUCUCACCUCUAUGUGGGAUUCUGUUGUAUAAAUAAGCCAUAAUUUAUCCAAUGUACUGUUAAUGGAAUGUUAGGUUUUUUUCUAGUUUGAGACAACUGUGAAUAGUGCUAUGAUUAUUUUAAUAUUCAUAUUAGAUCCACUCUUUACUUUCUUUAGUUAACAAUACCAUACCCAAAGUUUUGCAGUGAGAGUUGCUAAUAUUUUUCCAUUAUGCUAUGUGGCUUUUUCUGUUCUCUUCCUAAUACCAGUGUAAGUUCAAGAAUUAAGAAAGACAAACAUGUCUGAAUGAAAUUUUUGGUAGAUGGGAAUAGUGAUUUCAAAAUAGCUAACAUUUAUUGAGCAUUGAUUUCUUCACACCAAUAUGGCUGUGAGUACUUUAUAUAUAUAUUACUCUACACAAGCAUCUCAACAGUGUGACAAAGCAGGUAUUAACAUUAUCCUCAUUUGUAAAAUGAGAUUUCAGAAAACUGAAACACAGUUUUUUAAUUUAAUCAGGCUGUACCAUCUCCCUAGUUGAAGAACUAGCUAUUUCUUAUCUGCAUUUUAAAUUUUAUUGAAUAAUUAUUUAAUAGCGGUCUGUGAGAAGAAUUUCCAUAAAGUAAUUUUCCCCCCAAAAUUGUAUAAUCCACUUCCCAGAUUAACCAACUGUUAAUAUCUUGCCAUACCUGCUUGAUUCUCUCUCUCUGCAUGUGCAUGCAGUUUCCUUCUGCCAAAUAAUUCAAAAGUAGGCUGGUGAUGUUAUGAUAUUUUACCCAUAAAUAGUUCAGCAUGUAUCUCUCCUUCAUGACAUUCUCCUUCACAACCACAGCAGCAUUAUCACACCUAAGAAAAUCAGCUCUUAAUGAAUUAUUCAGUAGUAUCAUAAGACAUAUUCAAAUUUUCCCAAUUGUCCCCAAAAUAUUCUUCAGUUUUGGAACCUUCAAUCAAGGUUCACAUGUUACAUUUGGCUGUAACGUCUUUUUAGUUGUUAGCCUUUGACGUAGAAGUGGCCUCCUUUUUCUGUUCUUCAUAGUAUUCACUCUUCGAGGAUUCAUGCCAGAUGUUCAGCAUCCUAGAUUCACCUAAUCAUUUCCUGAUCAGAUUCAGGUCAGAAAUUUCUAGCAAGAAGAUCUCAUAGAUGACCAUGUGAUAGUUUUUAUAGAUGACCAUGUGAUAGUUUUUAAGUAACAAUAGAUUAAGUAGAGAACUGGGAAAUUUUCCUUUGUCCAUCAGCAUAGAAUUUUUUUGAAACUAGAUUUCUUGUGAUUUAUUUCUUAAUUGUAAAGCUACAAUAAACAAUUCAUUGCUCUUCGUCUCUCACCUUCAGUUUAAGGACAGGAAAGUAGAAGUAAAAAUAAUUAUAAUUUUAAUACAUAAAUUAUCAUCACAUAAAGCUAAUAAAAUAUUUUAUAUAAUACUCUUAUUAUAUGCUAAGAUCUAACUUUGAGACUUUCUUUUUAUUCUUUCAAUGGUAUACGAAGUAUAAAUCAAAGCCAUUCUGUGAAAAACUGCUUUCCUGGGUGAAAAGUAGUAACUGUGCCAAAGUUAUUGUUCUUUCAAGCAGUCAUUCAUAUCACCGUAAUGACCUACAGCUUCGCAGGUAUGCUUUUGCCUUUGAAAAGUUUUGUUUUAAUUUAUGCAAUAUUAUGAUGGUGUCUCUAUUAAAAAGCUAAAAUAAGUUUUAAAAGUUAUGUAUAUUUUUACCUCCCCUCUCUGGAAUUUAGAAAGAUGAUAAAGUCAGGAGAUAGGAGGGAGUAUGGUUAGUAGUGUUAUGGUUGAGGCAGAAGGAAGGCUUUGGUGUAAAGAUAUAGAUUGUUCUGGAACUGUGCUUCGGUUGUUUGGUAUGGUGUGUGGUGACAUUACAGAGCUGAGCUGAUAAAGAGAAAGAGGAGAGAUUCAUUGGAUGAUUUUUGGAAAAUUGAAUUCGUAUUUCUAUUUAUUCAGUCAUUGCAGAAAUCCAGUUGCCUCUAAGUAUAAAUCAGGUAUGUCACACUGAAUUCCUAAAUAUAAGGCAAAGUAUCCAAGAGAUAGAAAUAUAAACUAUUUCAUUAUCAUUUCCGCACCUAUAAAAUCAUGAUGAAAAGCAUUAGCCAAGACUAACCUUUCAAAACUGGAGCUAAUUUCUAGGAAUCUCACAAUAAACAUACAAUUCUAGGAAUCUCACAAAAGUCCUCUUGGCCAGAAGGGAGCAUAGCUUGUGGGAAAUUGAUUAUCUUCAUGCUGACCUUGCCUUAGUUUAAGUUGGUCUGGGUCCUUAUGCUCUCUCCUAAGUGUGUAAAUAGCAAGCCAGAGCAAUAUUUUUAUAUGCUAUUCUUCCGUAGACUGCUGAAACUUGUGCUUUGCUUUUGCAACAAAAUACACAUGGAACAAAUAGUAUUUGCUAAAAGAACUGAUACUUGCCUUAAUGUUCAAAUUUAUUAUGUUUUUAAAAACUGAAUUAUAUGAUUGCUUCUAGUACUCCCUUCAGAUACCUGCUUACACCUUUCUUGCAAAAAACUGUUCAAAAUAAAAUAAAGAGCCUGAACUGGGAAGAAAUGGAAAAAAGCCCAUGCAUUCCUGAAAUAGAUGAUUCUGAGUUUUGUAUCCGUAUUCCUGGAGGAGGUAUCACAAAAAUACUCUAUGAUGAAGGGUGAGUUUGUCUGUUUGUUCAUUUGUUCCCCCACCUUAUUUAAAAAUGAAAGUAGGAAGGGCUGGCUCAGGCCGUAGAAUGUGUGACUCUUUGAUCUCUGGGGUCACCAGUUCAAGGCUCACAUUGGGUGUGGAGCCUACUUAAAAAUAAUGAAAGUAAGAUAAGUGGGAGAGUGUGUUGGAUUACUUAUCAGAACUUUGAGAAUAUGUUUAUAUAUUUACACAUCACAUAAUUUAAGUGUGGUAAAAUAUACGUAACAUUAAAUUUAACCAUUUUUAAGUGUACAAUUAAGUGGCAUUAAUGCAUUUACGGUGUUGUAUAUCCAUCACCAUCUGUCCACUUUCAGAACUUUGUCAUCGUUCUAAACAGAGAAUCUGUACUCAUUAAAUAAUAACUCCUACUUAUUUCUGCAAAGCCCAUACUAAUAUCCUCACUUUCAUUUCUGAUUUUAGUAAUUUGAGUUUUCUUUUAUUCUUAGUAAAUUUUGUUGAUCUUUUCAAAUAACUACUUUUGGUUUUAUUGAUUUUCUCUAUUGUUUUUCUGUUUUCUAUUUAUCUCCACUCUAAUCUUCAUUAUUCCCUUUCUUCUGGUAACUCCAGGUUUAGUUUCCCUUUCUUAUUAUAGUUCCUAAGAUGUAAACUUAGGUCAUCAAUCUGAGAAAUUUCUUCUUUUUAAAUACAUGCAUUUACAGCUGAAACUUUUCCUCAUACUCUACUUUAGCUGCAACUCUUAAAUUCAGCAUGUUGUUUUCAUUUUCUUUCUCCUGUAUUUUUCUGAUUUCCCAUGUGAUUUCUUCUUUGACCUAUGUCUUCCUUGACUGUAUUAAUUUCCAUAUAUUUGUGAAUUUUCUGGUUUUCCUUCUGUUGUUGAGUCCUAGUGUCAUUCUACUAUGAUUGAAAAAGACACUUUGUAUGAUUUUCAUCUUUUUAAUUUAUCAAGUCUUAUUUUGUGCCCUACCAAAGGUCUGUCCUGGAGAAUGUUUCAUGUGCACCCAAGAAAAAUGUGUAUUCUGCUUGUGUUGAGUGGGAUGUUCUGUAUACAUCUGUUAGGUUUAAUGGGUGUAUGGUGUUGUGUAAGUCCCUCUAUUUCAUUAUGAAUCAGUCCGUUUGUUCCAUUAUUGAAUGUGGAGUGUUGAAGUCUCCCAACUGUUAUUGUAGCCCUGUGUCUAAUUCUCCCUUCAAUUCUAUGUCUGCUUAUAUAUUUUGGGGCUCUUGUUUUGUGAAUAUAUCUUUGUAUUUAUCACAUUUUCUUGGUGAAUUGGCCCUUUUAUUCAAUAUAUAAUGGCUUUCUCCAUCUCUUACAACAGUUUUUGAUAUUUUGUCUGAUAUUUUUACAGCCACCCUGCUCUCUUUUGGUUACUAUUUGUGUGGAAUAUCUUUUUCCAUCUUUUCAUUUUCAAACUAUGUGUGUCCUUAUAUUCAAAGUGAGUCUCUUAUAGACGGUAAAUAGAUCAUUUUUUUAAUCCAUUCUGCUAGUCUGUGUCGUUUGAUUAGAAAGUUUAAUCCGUUUGCAUUAAAAGUAAUUACUAAUGAAGGACUUGUUAUUCUGCUGUUUUCUGUAUGUCUUAUACCUUUUUUGUUCUUCAUUUACUGCUUUACUGCCACCUUUUUUAUAGGGACAUCUUUUGAUUCUCUUCACAUUUCCUUUUGUGUAUAUUCUAAAGAUACUUGCUUUAUGGUUUCCAUGGUGAGUGCAUGUAACAUUCUUAAGUUAUAACAGUCUGAGUUGAUACUAACUUCAGUUGCAUACAAAAACUACUACUGGUCACACUAUCUCCCCCCAACCCAUUAUGAUAUUGUCACAAAUUACAUCUUUAUGUAUUAUAUGCCCAAUAACAGAUUUAUAGUUAUUUUUGUGCAUUUUUCUUUUAAAUUCUCUGCAGUUGCUCUUGAUUGAUCUUUGAGAAUCACUAACAGUUAGCAGGCAAGUGAAAGUAAAGGAGGAAACUAGAAAGAGAUCUUUUUUUCUUUAAGCCCCUUUUUGUAAAUUGACUUUUAUGACUUAUAUGAUGGCCCAAUCUGCCAUCAGAUUUGUAGACACUUACACUAUCCCCAUUUUUGCCUGCCUUAUCCCUUAGCUUCCUGUUUCAUAUGACCCGAGGCUAAAUUUAGGGCUAACCAGUAGGCCUUGCUGUAUGCUUCAACUCCCUCUGACUUUUCCUCCUUGCUAGGAGUUGAUUUGCCUGGUGGGUUCAUGGAAAACAGAGCCAAUGGUGUUUAGAAGGUGGCUUCUACUGCUAGUCUACUCUCUGCUCUCCCAUGAGGAGACAUGAAUAAGGAGCACCACUUGUGCUGUCAGUGGUGGCUCUAGAGAAGUGGGCAGAGCUAACCUUAGAAAAAAAUUGUGUCCCCGUUACCAUUGCUGAAAGUCCACCAAAAAUCUGCCUCCUUACUUAACAUAAUAAAUUUCAAGAGUAUAAUCCUAGCCUUGCAAAGUAGAAUGACUGGUUUGCUUGCUCUGAAAUCUGCAUUGUGAUUUCUAUAUGACCUGAAGAAGUCAUAAUAGUAACAUAAGUAGUAGUCAUGGUGUUAGCAAAUUAUGUGCCUGGUACUUUCUGUGCACCUUACAUAUAUUAAAUUAUUUAAUUCUCAUACUGACCUUAUAGAUAUGUGCUAUUAACUACAUGUUAUAAACAAAAAAAUUGAAAGGCUGCAAGGUUAAAUAACUGCUAAAAGCCAUAUGAGUAACAUGUGGCAGAGCCAAGAUUCAAACGUAGGCAUCCGGCCCCAAAUUCUGCACUUUUAACCACUUCACUCUAGAGCUAGCACUCAUGGUCCAGGAUCAUAGUGAGCUUUAUUCUUUGUCUAAAAGUUGAACCUAUUCCUUGUUAUUUGUAAUUAUUUAUGCCCCUGCUUCUUUCUGAAAUAUCUAAGACUUCUGUCAGAAAGGAUACAGGCAUUUCAGCUUGUUUUCCUAAUACACCUUGUUUUGUCCAUCUCUGGCCAUACUUGUGUACCAUUCCAGCUUUCUGUUUUUCCCUUAAAACCUGCUCAUUUCUUUUCACUUUUCUUUUUUUCCAGUCUGUCACCCAUUCGUGUUUUUACUUCUUUUCCUGUCUAGCUUAUUGCUCAUCAUAUAAAAUAUCACUUCAGAAUAUAAAAAUAUUCUUUUACCACAGCCUGGAAGCCAUGGCUACGUAAUCAUUCUCUGGCCUGCCCUGCAAACCACCAGCUUUCAGUCCUUCUUUUGCUUCAUUCAGGCCACAUCAUUUGUAGCCUAGACUGCUGUUAGUCUGAUUGGGGUGUCAUAGCAAAAUAAAAUCAGCAGGGUGGCUUAAACCACAAAAAUUAAUUUGCUCACAGUUCUAGAGGCUAGAAGUCUGAGAUUGGGGAGCCAGCAUGGUUGAGUUCUGGUGAAGGCCCUCUUCCUAGCUUGCAAAUGGCUGCCUUCUGGCCGUAUCUUCAGAUAGCAGAGACCUCUGAUUCCUUCUCUCCUUACAGAGCCACAGUGCUGUCAGAUUAGGGCCCUACCCUUAUGACUUGGUUUACUCUCAAUUACCUGUGCAGGUCCCAUCUCCAGAUGGAAUUGCAUUGGGGGUUAGGGCUUCAGCAUAUGAGUUUUGGAGGGGUGUGAGUUUAGUCUGUAGCUGCUGCCAUCAAGAUCUCUUGAUUGAUUCCCCCGCCUCCUUCAUUAUGACUCCGUUUAAUCCAUCUUCAGUAUUGCUAAAAUCAACCUUCUGAAAUUCAGAACUGGGGCACCUGGGUGGUUCAGUCAGUUAAGUCUCCAGCUUUGGCUCGGGUGAUGAUAACACAGUUCGUGACUUCGAGCCCUGCGUCAGGCUCUGUGCUGACAGCUCAGAGCCUGGAGACUGCUUCAGAUUUUGUGUCUCCCUCUUUCUCUGACCCCCCCCCCCCCCCCGGGCUCACACUCUGUCUCUCUCUCAAAAAUAAACAUUAAAAAAAAAUUGAAAAAUAAAAUUAAAUUCAGAACUGAUCACAACAUUCCCAGAGUAAAAUCCAUCAGUAGUGGGGCGCCUGGGUGGUUUAGUCGGUUAAGCAUCUGACUUCAGCUCAGGUCAUAAUCUCACAGUUUGUGAGUUCGGGCCUCGUGUUGGGCUCUGUGCUGACAGUUCGGAGCCUGGAGCCUGCUUCAGAUUCUCUGUCUCCCUCUCUCUGACCCUCCCCCAUUCAUGCUCUUUCUCUGUCUCAAAAAUAAACAUCAAAAGAAAAAAUUUUUUUUAAAUCCAUCAGCAGUUUUACUUGCUUUAUGCAGAAUCUGGUUCAUAUUUCUUAAUGUGUCAUAUAAGGCCCUGCAGGAUCUCCUUGCCUGGCUCAUUCCUUGGUGCCCUGGACUCCAGCUAAACUACUAGCAGUCAUGGUUUCCUAAAAGCUGUCUCAUUCUUCCUUGCCUUGUCCCAUGUACUUUCUCCUAUUGUCUCCCUUGCAAAAACCAACCCAGUUUCUAAGAGUCACCUCGUACAGCACUCCUCUGUGUCCUUACAUGCUUCUCCCUCUGCACAAGGAAGUUACUACUCUCUUUGUAUUCCCACAGCUCUCUGCACCUUCACCCUGACUGCUUAGUUCUUUACAAAUUAGCCUCCUCCUUUUGCUCCACUCAGUGUUAGAGUAAUGAUCUCAGACUUGCCAUCUUGCCAUAAGCAACUGGAAAUUGGCCAAAAUUAAUGAAACAACUGUUUUUCAGACUUGGACACCAGGCAGCACAUAGUUGUGAUCCCUGAGAGAAGGCAAAUAAAGUCCUACAAUUGCCCCCAACUUUCUGCUUGGAGAUAUUUUCUGGACUACAACACAGGGAGGGGGAGGGAACCUAAGCAGACCAGUCUUGCUGAGUUGAGGAGACAGAUAUCAGCAUUGGGGAAUGCUAGGACACUCGGAAAGUACAAGGCAGAGAACCAUAGAAGGACUAUUCAGAAGAGCUGUAGGGGUCUCUCUGAGUCUUUGAAGUCUAAGCCACACAUGUGUAGGGUAAAAUUCUGUGAGACCAAAGAAUAACUUCUGGGUAGUUGUAAACUUGCCCACAGAGUUAGGUAGCAAAAUAUUAUAAAAGUUAGACAUAGUCAUCAUAGAAUAUUUGGAAAAUAUAGAAUAGUCCAAAGAAACAUUAUUUAUAAUACUCAGUUCUGGGGUGCCUGGGUGGCUCAGUUGGUUAAGUGUCCAACUCUUGAUUUCAGGCUCAGGUCAUAAUCUCACAGUUGUGAUGAGAUUGAACCCUGCAUCAGGCUUCGUGCUGGGCAUGGAGCCUGCUUAAGAUUCUCUUUCUCUCUUUCUCUCUCUCUCUCUUUCUCCUCACCGCCCCCCUCGCCCCUCUCCCCUUGCAUGCGCACAUGCUCUUUCUCUCCCUGUUUCUCCCCACCCCCCCCAUAUAUAUGUAUAUAUAUAUAUACACGUAUAUAUACGUAUAUAUAUGUGUGUGUAUAUAUAACGUAUCAGAAGUAACUACCAUUACUAAUUUUUCAUUUGUUCUCUUCCCAACUCCUUUAAAAAUAUAUCUGAAUUAAAUGCACAUAUCUGCAAGAUAUACCAUGUCUACCUUUAUAACUUUAGAGUUCAUCCUGUUUAAAAAUGUUUCUCACAAAAUCAAUUUUCUUUUAAUUUUCUGACACACAUCUUUUAUUCUCUUAUAAUCAAACCCUUGUUCAAUGUUCAGUGUCAUUAUACAUUCACUGCAAUAAAGAAUUUUUGAAAUUGAAAAAAAACUCAUCAUAGAGCUUAUAUAAUUUUGAAUCCUUUUUUUCUUCCUCAGUGCACAUCAUGAAUAUUUGCUAAAUUUUUUGUAACAUAUAUAUUUUGCCUUCCCAUUAUGAGAACAAAUAUAUAUUCUGAUCUCUGGAAAAAAUAAUGUUAGUUACUCUAAUAAUAAGGGGUGGCAGUGGUGUGGCUGAUCUGAAAUCCCAUAUAUUUAAUGGGAAUAGAAGUGCAUUUAUAAUUUAAUAAUGGAUGUGUCUAGGUUUUUAAUGUCACAAAGUAAUAAAAUUAGUCAUUCUCCACUUUUCAUUUUUAGAGAGGUCCAGAGGAUGGUAUUAAAACUAUUAUGCUACUCUUUGUGUUACAAACUAGUAGUGGAGGCACUGUAAAUUCAAGACCAUACUUCAUUUUUUAAGGUCGAGCUUUGAAAAUGAAGGCACAGCCAGGGAGGCUAGCUAGCCUCCUCUAGGCAGGAUCCAUUUCUAAGGAAUGUGUAGGAUAUGGAAUCUUCUGAGUCAUCACAGCUCACAGUGCUUCCAUACAAAGCUUGAGAGCCUCUGUGAUAUUUGAGAACUACAUAUGGAGAUGAUGUAAUUUGCUAACAACUUCCAAUUUCUAAUAUUUAGAGACUGAGAUGCUAUGUUAGCCUCUCCUAGUACAUCUGAGACUUCUGAACCUCCCUAUCAGAGUCUUCUCCACAUCUGAUAUCCCCUGCUUAGGAACCCAACUCACUUUAUUUCUGAACCUCUCUAUCAGUCAUGUGCUCUCAAGUUUUAGCAUCGUAUUUUUCUCCUAGUUUUUUAUUUUAGUGUAUUAGAAAAUAUUUUUGCUUUUGUUGGCAAACAGGAAGCUUUUUGCAUUGAUUUACCUCCAUCUCAUCACUAGCUUGAGACAUUUACAGCAAAUAGGAGACUGUUUUGGAGUCAGAAAGACUCAGGUUCAAGUCCCACCUCUGCCACUUCCCAGAUACAGAACUUUGAGCAUGUUAAAUAUGCUUCAAGCCCUUUAAACUUCAGUUACUUCAUCAUACUGGCUAACACAUUCAUAGUAUUGACUAUGUAUUGAGCAUUGUGUUAACCACUUUCCUCUACUGCCUCCUUUACAUGUCCCAACAACCUGUGAGGUAAGUUCUGUUGUGUUCCCUCUUUUACAUAUGAGACACACUGAAGCUCUGAUUAAGUAACUUGCCUGACAUGUCUGGUAAGUAGCAGAGCUAGAAUUUGAAUCCAGGCAUUCUGUGUUCCCAUUAUUCCAAACUGAUUCAUUUAUAAAAUGGAGAUAAUUAUAACUUCCUCAAGGAUUGCUGAGGGAUUGAAUUAUAAAAUAUGCAGACAGUCCUUAGCACAUAAUAAAUCACUCAGUAGAUAGAAUCUGUAAGAAAUAGCAAUAAGUUUUUUUCCCUUUAUUCUAUUCCACACUUUUCCUUCACUGCUUUAGAUUAUUAAUAACAAGGGUAUUAUUUUCUUUCAGUCUCUUUGCUAUGGUGCUUCUGAAAAUCACUGUCUUCUACAGCAGAUCUGGAGAGUAGAUCAGAACAUUUUUCAGUGGGGAUGUUUUUUCAUGCAGCCCUAUGUGAUACACAAAUUUACAUAUGCCCAUGGUGGGCAUUAAUUACAUGGCUUCUAGUUCUAUCCCCACAAAUACCAUACAUCUGGGGCAAGGGGGAUAAAUAAGUGAUCUCAUUAGGUGGCAUCUUCUCCUUGCCUAAAACCUGGCAGAUCGUCUUAGCUAUAAAAACAGGCACACUGGAAUCCGGGUCUUAUAUCAGUAGAAGAAUACUUAAUUUUUCUCUGUAUUUAUUAUAGCUGUUCUAAAGAAAUUCCAAUG